Molecule: RNA transcript, 3958 nt
Organism: Ictalurus punctatus (channel catfish)
Lineage: Eukaryota; Metazoa; Chordata; Actinopteri; Siluriformes; Ictaluridae
Gene name: E3 ubiquitin/ISG15 ligase TRIM25
Exons: 8
Source: RefSeq, a predicted model, not a curated record
UAAUCUGUAUCUGUUCAGUCCGAGGGCGGAUCUGUUUCAUACCUUUCUCACCUUUUCUUCAGACACACCUGUUUUCCACACGGCUUUUACAGACUGAACCACGAAGUGUGAGCUGCUGUAAGUGACUGUGUGAGUUUAUUUUUCAGUAAAAUGGCAGAAGCGAAUAUUUUAGGACUUCAGGAUCAGUUCAGCUGUCCAAUCUGUCUGGAUCUAAUCAAGGAUCCAGUAGCUAUUUCAUGUGGACACACUUUCUGUAUGGUGUGUAUUAAUGGCUGCUGGGAUCAGGAGGAUCAGAAGGGAGUCUAUAGCUGUCCUCAGUGUAGACAAACCUUCACUCCAAGACCUGUUGUGAGUAAAAACACUGUUCUGGCUGAAGUAGUGGAGACACUGAAGAAGACGGGACUCCAAGCUACACGUCCUGCUCACUGUUCAGCUGGACCUGAAGAUGUGGAGUGUGAUUCCUGCACUGGGAGAAAAUCCAAAGCCAUCAAGUCCUGUCUGGUGUGUCUGGCCUCUUUCUGUGAAACUCACCUCCAGCCUCACUAUGAAUCUCCUGCCUUUAAGAAGCACAAGCUGGUGGAAGCCUCCAGACGACUCCAGGAGCAGAUCUGCUCUCAGCAUGACAAACUGCUGGAGGUUUACUGUCGCACUGAUCAGCAGUGUAUCUGCAUGUUGUGUACCAUGGAUGAACAUAAAGGACAUGAUACAGUAUCAGCUGCAGCAGGACGAGCUGAGAAACAGAAGCAGUUGUUGGAGAUGCAGGGAAACUCCAAGCAGAGAAUCCAGGAGAGAGAGAAGCAGCUUCAGGAACUCAUAAAAGCUAUGGAGACUCACAAGCUCUCUGCACAAGCAGCAGUGCAGGAAACCGAGAGGAUCUUUACGGAGCUGAUCAAAUCUAUUGAGAGAAGAUGCUCUGAACUGACAGCGCUGAUCAGAGCUCAGGAGGAAGCUGCAGUGAGUCGAGCUGAAGAAGUCAUGAAGCAACUGGAGCAGGAGAUCGCAGAGCUGAAGAGGAGAGAUGCUGAAAUGGAGGAGCUUUCACACACAGAGGAUCCUGUCCAGUUCCUCCAGAGUUUUCAGUCUGUCGCAACCCCAACUGGAUCUUCAAACUUGCCCACCAUCAUGUUCAGCUCUACUCUAACUUUUGAGGUUGUAAUAACAUCUGUGUCUCAGCUGAGAGAGAAUGUUGAAGAGUGCUGUAACGCUGAGUUUGUGAAGAUUCCAAGUGGAGUGAGGGAUGUCCAGAUCUUAUCACCUCCUCGUAUCACUAUGCAGAAGCUAUAUAUUAAGAUCCCUCCCCAUGAACCUCCUACUCCUGAAGCCCAAAAGACAGAUUCCCAGUGUUAGCAUCUCUCUCUACAGGAAUAAAAAUACUUCAGGAAGUGCUCUUAUUGUAAACCGUAUGGUUAUGGAACGCCGAAAGCAAGAUUUUCAAUGACUCGGCAAAUGUGAGAAACCUGCAGAUCACCAACUAGUGAUACUCUGUGAUACUCUACAGAACUCCUCAGUCUGCAAUCUCUCUCUCUCUCUCUCUCUCUCUCUCUCUCUCUCUCUCUGUCAUUUAAACACAAUUUCUCUUCUCACAUGUGCAGUGUGAAAUAAUCAGUGUAAUCGUUAUUGGAAUGAAUAAUAAUUUAAGGAUGUUUAUCUGGGAUUUGUUGAUAUAUAUUGAUGAAAUACUUACAAAUGUAUUAGUGCUUUGCUUUUGGUGUCUCUUACACAAAAUAUAUUCAUGUAGUUUUAGUAGUUUUCCAUUUUUUCAGACAGAACAAUUAAAGAACUUUAAGUAUGUGUUUGACUAGAAAGUUUGACUUGUUAAACGCUCUAGCUCCUCAGCCAUAUGUAUGGAAAUCUAUAUUCAGAUUUGACAUUAUACUUCAAAAAUUCAUUUUACAAUGUUUUGCUAGUAUGUAACAUUAAAAAACAACUUAGCAACUGUUGAUAUUAAUAUGACUUCGGUUUUUUCAUUACUUUAUUAAAACCAUUAUUGUCUAGUACUUGCAUUUACAAAUAAACAAUUUUAAUUCUUAACAUCUGCGUUAUGGAAACUGCAUCCUAUGCUUUCACUUUAUUUAAAGCCAUCAAUGAUGCAUUUAUAGAGGUUAUUAUUUGUAUUAUAACUCACAAUAAGUAUUUAUAAUGCAGCACAACACAUCUAUCAACAAUAUAAAAUAAUUCACUUAUUGGACAUAGAAAUGAAUAUGUAUUACUAAUAAGUCAUUAUAGCUACAAUAUAAUAACAUCAUAAAAAUGCAGGCUGUAUUUUUAUGAAUACAUUAAUGGAACCAUAAGACUAAUUAAUACUUAUAAAUUGGUGUAUAAUGCAUUAUGAGCAUGGGCACUGAAAAAGCAAGUUUAUCACUUAUAAGUAAUUAUACCAAUAAUAUAAAUGUAGCAAUAACUUAUUAUAAAUUAUUGAAGUGUAGGUCUUGAUAAAUGUGUUUAAAGAGCAGUAAUUCUUGCUUAUAAAUAUAUAAGUGUCACGUAACGAGACUGGAGGCGGAUGCAGGUCACAGUCUUUAUUAAUUCGCAGAUAAACAAAAACACAGGGAGCGCGGUCUCUACUGAUUAUGCAAACUCUGGUCCUCUAGCUACGACCGCUAGCAUGCUACACAUUAGCACAUACCGUUAUCCUUCCUCUACUUGACAAACGUGAACCAAAUAUAAUACUGCGCGAUGUGCGCAGUAACACGGGGGGGUUAAAUAACAAACCUAAUUAAACCAAAAGAUAAACACCUGAGGCAAAUCAGAGACUUAAUCAGACUUAAUGUCCGAGCGGGAAGUGAAAGAAAACAGAAGAGUCACGUGACCAGUCAGCGGCCGUACCGCAGUGCCCUCUGCUGGCCGUGGCGUAACAAUAAGUAAUAAUUCAUUAAAAGCAUGGGCUUCAUAGAAAUCGUUACCGAACUUUCUAUCGGUGGUGUUCUUCUGUUGAUGAAAGGUGUAGUAAUUUUCAUAUUAGGAAAAGUGUCAUAGUGGAUCAGAGAUGUUUCCUUAAAGCAAAAGUCAAAUGGAAUUUUAUGUCCUGUGCUUUCUGUAGACCGUCUUUAAGCAUAUAUUUUACUCCUCAAAAUGUAAAAGAUGAUCUUGUAAUAAUUGUCCUGAGAAAUGUAAAAGAGUUGUUACACACAACGUUUUCUCUGCGUUAUUCUGAUGCAUAAGUUUUUAUUAAUACAUUUCCAGGUUUAAAAUAAGGUUUCUUUGCAUAAAAUUUUGAAAUAUAAUAUUUUCAAAGCCCUAAUUGAAUGACACAAAUAACUGUGUUGCGAUAGAAUCUGAAAUCAGUAGUGCUGUACAAUUAUUUUGUAUUCAUUUAAAUAUUCUGAAGUUUUACAAAAAAAUAUCCUUUUGAGAUUGUUAAUUUGUAUAACUUUGUUUGUUUGUUUGUUUGUUUGGUUUAAAAAAAUAUUUUUAAUUGCUUAAAAAGGUUGCUUUUUAAAGCCACAAACUGUCUCCUUACUCUCUUCUCAAGAUUCCCUAAAGUGUUUCUUCCUCACGUCGUCUCUGGAUUUGUGUCACCGAGUCACUUAGACUUGAUACUCUGUCAACUUUGUUUAAAUUGUAAUAGUGAAAAUGUAUAACUUUAACAUCUAGUGUUUGCAGUUUUCUGUACCUAUAGAGCUGAAAAUGUUUUUUUUGUUGUUGUUGUUGUUGUUUUUUUUUUGUUUGUUUGUUUUAAAAUCAGUUGCCAAACUGUGUCCUCAAGAAUUUUGUGGUCAAUCCUGCUAAAUUGUGAUAUAAUGUCUAAUAAUGCAUUUUAGGUGGUGGUGGUCAUAGUGGGAAAGUCUUAUUAUUUGCCUGGGUGGUAUUGGUGGUCAAUCUAAUGUUUUUUUGUUUUUUUUAAUUUAUAGAUAGAUUAUCCUUUCUGAAUGAUCCUUUCUUCUGUUUUGAUUAUUUGAUCAAGUUGUGCUUAAUUCUGUGUGGUGGAAGAAUUAAAAAAAACAUAAGUCCAUUGUAA